GACGAACGCUGGCGGCGUGCCUAAUACAUGCAAGUAGAACGCUGAAGGAGGAGCUUGCUUCUCCGGAUGAGUUGCGAACGGGUGAGUAACGCGUAGGUAACCUGCCUGGUAGCGGGGGAUAACUAUUGGAAACGAUAGCUAAUACCGCAUAAGAGUAGAUGUUGCAUGACAUUUGCUUAAAAGGUGCAAUUGCAUCACUACCAGAUGGACCUGCGUUGUAUUAGCUAGUUGGUGGGGUAACGGCUCACCAAGGCGACGAUACAUAGCCGACCUGAGAGGGUGAUCGGCCACACUGGGACUGAGACACGGCCCAGACUCCUACGGGAGGCAGCAGUAGGGAAUCUUCGGCAAUGGACGGAAGUCUGACCGAGCAACGCCGCGUGAGUGAAGAAGGUUUUCGGAUCGUAAAGCUCUGUUGUAAGAGAAGAACGAGUGUGAGAGUGGAAAGUUCACACUGUGACGGUAUCUUACCAGAAAGGGACGGCUAACUACGUGCCAGCAGCCGCGGUAAUACGUAGGUCCCGAGCGUUGUCCGGAUUUAUUGGGCGUAAGGCGAGCGCAGGCGGUUAGAUAAGUCUGAAGUUAAAGGCUGUGGCUUAACCAUAGUACGCUUUGGAAACUGUUUAACUUGAGUGCAAGAGGGGAGAGUGGAAUUCCAUGUGUAGCGGUGAAAUGCGUAGAUAUAUGGAGGAACACCGGUGGCGAAAGCGGCUCUCUGGCUUGUAACUGACGCUGAGGCUCGAAAGCGUGGGGAGCAAACAGG
This 763-nucleotide ribosomal RNA is filed under the name uncultured Streptococcus sp. RNAcentral describes it as "bacterial SSU rRNA". It matches the Rfam family "Bacterial small subunit ribosomal RNA", at positions 28 to 776 of the family's 1533-position model. Lineage: Bacteria; Bacillati; Bacillota; Bacilli; Lactobacillales; Streptococcaceae. The record is from RNAcentral.